This 260-nucleotide ribosomal RNA is filed under the name uncultured bacterium. RNAcentral describes it as "partial 16S ribosomal RNA". It matches the Rfam family "Bacterial small subunit ribosomal RNA", at positions 793 to 1055 of the family's 1533-position model. The record is from RNAcentral.
GUCCGCGCGAUAAACGAUGGACGCCCGCCGUGGGGUAGAUAUAUUCCGCGGCCAAGCGAAAGCGUUAAGCGUCCCACCUGGGGGAGUACGCCGGCAACGGUGAAACUCAAAGGAAUUGACGGGGGCCCGCACAAGCGGAGGAACAUGUGGUUUAAUUCGAUGAUACGCGAGGAACCUUACCCGGGCUUGAACUGCAGACGACGGCGCCGGAGACGGCGCUUCCCUUCGGGGCGUCUGCGGAGGUGCUGCAUGGUUGUCGU